Molecule: ribosomal RNA, 484 nt
Filed under: uncultured bacterium
Lineage: Bacteria
Description: partial 16S ribosomal RNA
Rfam family: Bacterial small subunit ribosomal RNA
Source: RNAcentral
AUUGAACGCUGGCGGCAGGCCUAACACAUGCAAGUCGAGCGGAUGAAGGGAGCUUGCUCCUGGAUUUAGCGGCGGACGGGUGAGUAAUGCCUAGGAAUCUGCCUGGUAGUGGGGGAUAACGUCCGGAAACGGGCGCUAAUACCGCAUACGUCCUGAGGGAGAAAGUGGGGGAUCUUCGGACCUCACGCUAUCAGAUGAGCCUAGGUCGGAUUAGCUAGUUGGUGGGGUAAAGGCCUACCAAGGCGACGAUCCGUAACUGGUCUGAGAGGAUGAUCAGUCACACUGGAACUGAGACACGGUCCAGACUCCCACGGGAGGCAGCAGUGGGGAAUAUUGGACCAUGGGCGAAAGCCUGAUCCAGCCAUGCCGCGUGUGUGAAGAAGGUCUUCGGAUUGUAAAGCACUUUAAGUUGGGAGGAAGGGCAGUAAGUUAAUACCUUGCUGUUUUGACGUUACCAACAGAAUAAGCACCGGCUAACUUCGUG